UUUGGCUGCAGUCGAGGAUCUUCCGCAAUGCGCGAAAGCGUGACGGAGCAAUGCCGCGUGCAGGAUGAAGGCCCUCGGGUUGUAAACUGCUGUCACCCGGAACGAAUCAAUGACGGUACCGGGAGAGGAAGCCACGGCUAACUACGUGCCAGCAGCCGCGGUAAGACGUAGGUGGCGAGCGUUAUUCGGAAUUACUGGGCGUAAAGAGUCUGUAGGGGGCGUGCCAAGUCCGGUGUGAAAUUUCGGGGCUCAACCCCGAACAGCCACUGGAAACUGGCGUGCUCGAGGACAGGAGAGGAGAGUGGAAUUCCAGGUGUAGCGGUGGAAUGCGUAGAUAUCUGGAGGAACACCAAUGGCGAAGGCAGCUCUCUGGCCUGUACCUGACCCUGAGAGACGAAAGCUGGGGGAGCAAACAGGAUUAGAUACCCCUGGUAGUCCCAGCCGUAAACGUUGUGCACUCGGUGUGGGGCGGUUUGGUCCGCUCUGUGCCUUAGCUAACGCUUUAAGUGCACCGCCUGGGA
This 521-nucleotide ribosomal RNA is filed under the name bacterium. RNAcentral's name for it is "bacterial SSU rRNA". It matches the Rfam family "Bacterial small subunit ribosomal RNA", at positions 344 to 878 of the family's 1533-position model. The record is from RNAcentral.